GCAGUGGUGGAACCAUUGCUGGCCUCGCAUUAGGAUCAAGGUUAAGCAAUUUGAAAGCAAAAGUCCAUGCAUUCUCUAUUUGGAAUGAUCCUGGAUUCCUCUAUGACUAUAUCCAAAACUUGAUUGACGGACUUCAAUCUGGUUUGAAUUCACAUGAUAUUGUCACUAUUGAAAAUGAAAACUAUUUGGCUGUCGGGAAGAACAAACACCAAGGUGCCAAAGUCAUUUCAUUGAGCAUGGACGUCCCUGCUACAAGGAAAUUGGUGAUUCCAAAUCAUCAUGGCCCGAUCAGUAUGAAGAGGCUACUAUAAACGCUUGUUUCUUCACCAAAGCGAACAAGGAGACCACUGGGCAAGUAGUUAAGCUACGAUUUAUCCAUCAGCUAGCAUGUAGCCUCUGUUGAAACGUUAUGUGAUCUCUUGUUGUUCAGUGUGUAGCAUAUAUAUAUUUAUUAAUUUCAGUAUCUAAAUUUCAUAUAGAAUUGGGAUCAGUGUGUACAGAUGAG
Molecule: long non-coding RNA, 505 nt
Organism: Panicum hallii
Lineage: Eukaryota; Viridiplantae; Streptophyta; Magnoliopsida; Poales; Poaceae
Exons: 3
Source: RefSeq, a predicted model, not a curated record